Molecule: ribosomal RNA, 357 nt
Filed under: uncultured bacterium
Lineage: Bacteria
Description: bacterial SSU rRNA
Rfam family: Bacterial small subunit ribosomal RNA
Source: RNAcentral
GAUACAGGCUAGCGGCGGACGGGUGAGUAACACGUGGGUAACCUGCCCAAGAGAUCGGGAUAACACCUGGAAACAGAUGCUAAUACCGGAUAACAACAGAUGAUGCCUAUCAACUGUUUAAAAGAUGGUUCUGCUAUCACUCUUGGAUGGACCUGCGGUGCAUUAGCUAGUUGGUAGGGUAACGGCCUACCAAGGCGAUGAUGCAUAGCCGAGUUGAGAGACUGAUCGGCCACAUUGGGACUGAGACACGGCCCAAACUCCUACGGGAGGCAGCAGUAGGGAAUCUUCCACAAUGGACGCAAGUCUGAUGGAGCAACGCCGCGUGAGUGAAGAAGGGUUUCGGCUCGUAAAGCUCUG